CCUGAAUUCGAAAGGGACGGAUUCAAGUCCAUCCGUUUAGCUCAGGCCGCCCGGCCCCGCCAGAUGGUGCCGGUCGCCCGCGGCGAUUCAUUUCGCUUGUGGUGUCGUUCCCGGCGCUCACUCGGUGGGGUGGCGUUGCUCUGGCGACGGAGGUGUGCACUUCCACCCUAGUAGAAACGUCGCGACCCGUUGGGUGCCGGUCUAAGGCCCGGGAAGGCAGACCACGUGUCCUGCGGGGAUUCUCGCAGGCGCGCGGACUCCUGGUGUCCCGGCCGGCUGCCCGACGGUAAGACCAGAGGAGUCGAUCCGCUACCUGGGAAACACUAUGGCUGUGUAGCGUCCGGCCCGGCGCCGACACGUGCGUGGAUUGAGGUGCAAACCGGGGGUGUCCGUGCUAAGCACGGCCCCGGCCUCGCCGCGUCGUCGGAAUUGCCGGUGUCCUCGGACUGGAUCGUUACUCCCGUCUGCGACGCCCACCUUCGGAUGGUCUCCCG
Molecule: ribosomal RNA, 494 nt
Filed under: Tithonophasma tithonus
Lineage: Eukaryota; Metazoa; Arthropoda; Insecta; Phasmatodea; Pseudophasmatidae
Description: partial large subunit ribosomal RNA
Source: RNAcentral